This 269-nucleotide ribosomal RNA is filed under the name uncultured bacterium. Its description in RNAcentral is "partial 16S ribosomal RNA". It matches the Rfam family "Bacterial small subunit ribosomal RNA", at positions 933 to 1215 of the family's 1533-position model. The record is from RNAcentral.
UGGAGCGUGUGGUUUAAUUCGAUGCUACACGAAGAACCUUACCAGGGUUUGACAUGUAAGUGGUAGGGAAGCGAAAGCAGACCGACCCUUCGGGGAGCUUGCACAGGUGCUGCGUGGGUGUCGUCAGCUCGUGUCGUGAGAUGUUCGGUUAAGUCCGCUAACGAGCGCAACCCUCGCUGUAUGUUACAAGUGUCAUACGGUACUGCCGGUCUCAAACCGGAAGAAGGUGGGGAUGACGUCAAGUCAGCAUGGCCUUUAUAUCUUGGGCA